This is a regulatory RNA element of Oryctolagus cuniculus (rabbit), 46 nucleotides long. It matches the Rfam family "Histone 3' UTR stem-loop". Rfam says of the family: The mRNAs of metazoan histone genes lack a poly-A tail. The record is from Rfam. Lineage: Eukaryota; Metazoa; Chordata; Mammalia; Lagomorpha; Leporidae.
CCAAAGGCUCUUUUCAGAGCCACCCACGUACCACGAGAAAGCAGCU